CCUACGGGAGGCAGCAGUGGGGAAUUUUGGACAAUGGGGGAAACCCUGAUCCAGCCAUUCCGCGUGAGUGAAGAAGGCCUUCGGGUUGUAAAGCUCUUUCGGCAGGAAAGAAAUCGCCCGCUCUAACAUAGCGGGUGGAUGACGGUACCUGAAGAAGAAGCACCGGCUAACUACGUGC
This 178-nucleotide ribosomal RNA is filed under the name uncultured bacterium. RNAcentral describes it as "partial 16S ribosomal RNA". It matches the Rfam family "Bacterial small subunit ribosomal RNA", at positions 338 to 508 of the family's 1533-position model. The record is from RNAcentral.